RNAcentral lists this ribosomal RNA (239 nucleotides) under uncultured bacterium. RNAcentral's name for it is "partial 16S ribosomal RNA". It matches the Rfam family "Bacterial small subunit ribosomal RNA", at positions 28 to 263 of the family's 1533-position model. The record is from RNAcentral.
GACGAACGCUGGCGGCGUGCUUAACACAUGCAAGUCGAGCGGUAAGGCCCUUUCGGGGGUACGACGAGCGGCGAACGGGUGAGUAACACGUGGGUGACCUCGCCCUUAGCUCUGGGAUAAGCCUGGGAAACGUAGGGUCGUAAUACCGGAUAUGACUCCAUAACGCAUGUUGUGGGGUGGAAAGCCUUGUGCGGCUAGGGAUGGGCCCGCGGCCUAUCAGCUUGUUGGUGGGGUGAUGG